RNAcentral lists this ribosomal RNA (412 nucleotides) under Pseudomonas sp. enrichment culture. RNAcentral's name for it is "bacterial SSU rRNA". It matches the Rfam family "Bacterial small subunit ribosomal RNA", at positions 353 to 760 of the family's 1533-position model. Lineage: Bacteria; Pseudomonadati; Pseudomonadota; Gammaproteobacteria; Pseudomonadales; Pseudomonadaceae. The record is from RNAcentral.
AGUGGGGAAUAUUGSACAAUGGGCGMAAGCCUGAUCCAGCCAUGCCGCGUGUGUGAAGAAGGUCUUCGGAUUGUAAAGCACUUCAAGUUGGGAGGAAGGGUUGUAGAUUAAUACUCUGCAAUUUUGACGUUACCGACAGAAUAAGCACCGGCUAACUCUGUGCCAGCAGCCGCGGUAAUACAGAGGGUGCAAGCGUUAAUCGGAAUUACUGGGCGUAAAGCGCGCGYAGGUGGUUUGUUAAGUYGGAUGUGAAAUCCCCGGGCUCAACCUGGGAACUGCAUUCAAAACUGACWGACUAGAGUAUGGUAGAGGGUGGUGGAAUUUCCUGUGUAGCGGUGAAAUGCGUAGAUAUAGGAAGGAACACCAGUGGCGAAGGCGACCACCUGACWAAUACUGACACUSAGGGCGAAGC